AGGACGAACGCUGGCGGCGUGCUUAACACAUGCAAGUCGAGCGGAAAGGCCCUUCGGGGUACUCGAGCGGCGAACGGGUGAGUAACACGUGAGUAACCUGCCCCUAGCUUCGGGAUAGCUCCGGGAAACCGGAAUUAAUACCGGAUAUGACCACGGCCGACAUCGGCCACGGUGGAAAGAUUCAUCGGCUAGGGAUGGGCUCGCGGCCUAUCAGCUUGUUGGUGGGGUAACAGCCUACCAAGGCGACGACGGGUAGCCGGCCUGAGAGGGCGACCGGCCACGACUGGGACUGAGACACGGCCCAGACUCCUACGGGAGGCAGCAGUGGGAAUAUUGCGCAAUGGGCGAAAGCCUGACGCAGCGACGCCGCGUGGGGGAUGAAGGCCUUCGGGUUGUAAACCCCUUUCGGCAGGGACGAAGCGAAAGUGACGGUACCUGCAGAAGAAGCGCCGGCUAACUACGUGCCAGCAGCCGC
RNAcentral lists this ribosomal RNA (475 nucleotides) under uncultured bacterium. RNAcentral describes it as "SSU rRNA". It matches the Rfam family "Bacterial small subunit ribosomal RNA", at positions 26 to 518 of the family's 1533-position model. The record is from RNAcentral.